CCUACGGGGUGCAGCAGUGGGGAAUAUUGCACAAUGGGCGCAAGCCUGAUGCAGCCAUGCCGCGUGUGAAGAAGGCCUUCGGGUUGUAAAGCACUUUCAGCGGGGAGGAAGGCGGUGAGGUUAAUAACCUCAUCGAUUGACGUUACCCGCAGAAGAAGCACCGGCUAACUCCGUGCCAGCAGCCGCGGUAAUACGGAGGGUGCAAGCGUUAAUCGGAAUUACUGGGCGUAAAGCGCACGCAGGCGGUCUGUCAAGUCGGAUGUGAAAUCCCCGGGCUCAACCUGGGAACUGCAUUCGAAACUGGCAGGCUAGAGUCUUGUAGAGGGGGGUAGAAUUCCAGGUGUAGCGGUGAAAUGCGUAGAGAUCUGGAGGAAUACCGGUGGCGAAGGCGGCCCCCUGGACAAAGACUGACGCUCAGGUGCGAAAGCGUGGGGAGCAAACAGGAUUAGAUACCCUUGUAGUC
RNAcentral lists this ribosomal RNA (463 nucleotides) under uncultured Klebsiella sp. Its description in RNAcentral is "bacterial SSU rRNA". It matches the Rfam family "Bacterial small subunit ribosomal RNA", at positions 338 to 795 of the family's 1533-position model. The record is from RNAcentral. Lineage: Bacteria; Pseudomonadati; Pseudomonadota; Gammaproteobacteria; Enterobacterales; Enterobacteriaceae.